RNAcentral lists this ribosomal RNA (477 nucleotides) under uncultured bacterium. RNAcentral describes it as "partial 16S ribosomal RNA". It matches the Rfam family "Bacterial small subunit ribosomal RNA", at positions 28 to 507 of the family's 1533-position model. The record is from RNAcentral.
GAUGAACGCUGGCGGCGUGCCUAAUACAUGCAAGUCGAGCGAACAGACCCGGCGCUUGCUCCUCUGACGUUAGCCGAGGACGUGUGAAUAACACGUGUAUCCCCUACCUAUCUUUCUGGUAUCUCUUGGGAACAGCGGAUCUAAUACCGGAUAAUCUCUUGAACCACAUUGUUGAUUGGUAAUUUACGGUUUUGGUGUCUGUUGUAGAUGGAUCCGCGCCUUAUUGUCUUGUUGGUGAGGUAACGGCUUACCACGGCAACGCUGGGUAGCCGGCAGGAGAGGGGGAACGGCCACAUGGGGACUGAGAUACGGACCAGACUCCUACGGGAGGCAGCAGUGGGGAAUAUUGCACAAUGGGCGGAAGCCUGAUGCAGCAACGCCGCGUGCGGGAUGACGGCCUUCGGGUUGUAAACAGAUUUCGAAGGUGACGAAGCGGGAGUGACGGUAAUGGGUAAAGAAGCACCGGCUAACUACGUG